RNAcentral lists this ribosomal RNA (531 nucleotides) under Apteronotus hasemani. RNAcentral describes it as "partial 16S ribosomal RNA". It matches the Rfam family "Bacterial large subunit ribosomal RNA", at positions 1899 to 2581 of the family's 2925-position model. Lineage: Eukaryota; Metazoa; Chordata; Actinopteri; Gymnotiformes; Apteronotidae. The record is from RNAcentral.
UCCCGCCUGCCCACUGACCCUGUGUUUAACGGCCGCGGUAUUUUGACCGUGCAAAGGUAGCGCAAUCACUUGUUUCAUAAAUUGAAACCCGUAUGAAUGGCAAGACGAAGGCUUAACUGUCUCCCCUUUCAGGUCAGUGAAAUUGAUCUGCCCGUGAAGAAGCGGACAUACUCAUACAAGACGAGAAGACCCUUUGGAGCUUAAGACUUAAACCAACUGUGUAACAGACUAACUACCCUUAGCCAAACUAAACCUUGCACUGGCCUACGUCUUCGGUUGGGGCGACCACGGAGAAAAACAAAGCCUCCGCGCAGAAUGGGAAUAAUAUUCCUUAAACCAAGAGAGACAUCUCUAAGCCACAGAACAUCUGACUAAAACAGACCCGGGUACAAGACCCGAUUAACGAACCAAGUUACCCUAGGGAUAACAGCGCAAUCCCCUUCCAGAGCCCUUAUCGACAAGGGGGUUUACGACCUCGAUGUUGGAUCAGGACAUCCUAAUGGUGCAGCCGCUAUUAAGGGUUCGUUUGUU